Molecule: long non-coding RNA, 233 nt
Filed under: Mytilus galloprovincialis (Mediterranean mussel)
Lineage: Eukaryota; Metazoa; Mollusca; Bivalvia; Mytilida; Mytilidae
Source: RNAcentral
CCAGCCCAAAUAUUUAGGUAAACAGGAAGUUGUUAUAUGAUGAAUCUGAAAAUGCUUCACAUGGUAUGGAUUGAAAUAUAGUAUACAGUAUAGUAAACACCCACAUUUUUAAAGCUGGGGUAUAAUUACAAUGCCUUAUUUGGGCCUAAAAUAAAAUAUUGUUUGUUUCCCCGAUCCUGACCGACCCUGCAAAAACCGUGCUACGCAUAAAAUUUUAUUGUCAAAACUAAGUA